This is a long non-coding RNA of Hevea brasiliensis (rubber tree), 538 nucleotides long. RefSeq lists it as uncharacterized. NCBI's taxonomy places the organism in Eukaryota, Viridiplantae, Streptophyta, Magnoliopsida, Malpighiales, Euphorbiaceae. The record is from RefSeq and is a predicted model, not a curated record. The transcript is spliced from 3 exons.
UCCAUUCGUCGAGAGCUUCGCAACGACAUAAAUUUCGAAUUUUUCCGACACCGUUUUUCGGUGGGUCCCACGGAACUUCGCAGUGUAUUUUCGAGCAUUUAAUGAGCUUAGAAAAUUCUGAAAAAUUUAUGUACUAACCCCCGUGUUAUGGGCUUCGUGUAGGUAUCCUCGAUUCGCGGAAAUUCGACAGUUGACCGGGUCUGCAAAAUUCCGGUCAGACAGACCCGUUACCGGAAAAGUCUCCGAAUUGGACCGAGGUUUUGGCUAGCCCCCCAUUGUCAGACGUUCCGAGCGCGUUCCCGAAGUCGGAAUCGGCAAAGGUGAGCCGGGACAGCCUUCUUCCUCCACCCAGCCGCCACAGUGAUUGUCGUCAAGUCUGCCACAGGAGGAUAUUUUGUUCUGGGUUAACCUGCUUUUCUACUUCGCAGGUUGUUUAUCAAUAUUUGUGUAAUUUUAUUUACUCCUAGAAUUUCCGCAUGUGUUAGCAGUAAUUAUUUGAAUUUGGUCUGUAAUAUUAUUAUCAUGUUGGACCUGUAAA